This is a long non-coding RNA of Haliotis rubra (blacklip abalone), 155 nucleotides long. RefSeq lists it as uncharacterized. The record is from RefSeq and is a predicted model, not a curated record. NCBI's taxonomy places the organism in Eukaryota, Metazoa, Mollusca, Gastropoda, Lepetellida, Haliotidae. The transcript is spliced from 3 exons.
AUAAAAACAUGUGCACGAAGGACAGUAAGACGACUAGAAUAUCACAGAUAGAAAUUUAAGGCUAUUAAUUAAAUCUAACACAUUUUAACUAUACAUGACAAUACAAUAUACAAAUAGGCUAUAGAUUGCCAACAACUGAAUGUUAUGAAUGGACA